Molecule: long non-coding RNA, 812 nt
Filed under: Homo sapiens (human)
Lineage: Eukaryota; Metazoa; Chordata; Mammalia; Primates; Hominidae
Description: HSALNT0037281
Source: RNAcentral
CAUUCACAUGUCCAACAGGUGGCACUGGCCAUCGCCUGGGUUCCCUCCUUUCUCCUCCAUGGAGCCGCCCAGGCUCCAGUGAGCCAGAGUGGCUCCCUUCCAGCAGACCUCGAGGUAGAGCCCUAAGAGGGUAAAAGGGAGAAGGUGGCAAAGUGACCCUGGAAAAGAGACAUGCGUCAGGACGGAAUGAUCUGUGGCUGUAGAGCAGCUCACCACACUUGAGUGUGAGCCCUCAGUUCUUCCGUUGCAAGCCAAUUGCUCCUUGCCCAAGUCACUGUAUUUCCAUUUUCCCAUGACUUUAUCCAAAUUGGGAGCAAGAUUCCCCACCCAUAGAAAAGCAGAGAUGUUCUCACACAUGACAGUCUGCAGUUGUCUAGCUGUUGCCAAUGCUGCACCCUGGGGUCCCCUCUACUCUGCAGUAAAGAAGCUGUGCACCCCAUCUCCCCAGAAUCCUCACUCCAUGUGGGUCUGGGUAAGACUGUCAAUCAGAGGCACUCAGAGGAGAUUUCAAAGAUAAAAGAGAGUGAAGGGCCAUGAGUUUCUAGAGGCAACUGGUGGCAAAGGUGUGAGCAGAUGCGUGAUUCACAGUGGCUUCACAGCAACUUCUGGAGACCCCCCUACUUCAUUGCUCUUACGCGGAGAAUGGCAGGAGCUUGCUAGAAGUUCUGGAGAAUUAUGGGGCUUCCUGGGGUGCACUUAAGAACCGCCCUCGGGUGUGCCAGCUUGAGAUCGCUGGUGGCAGCUUCCCCAGCCUUCACUCAUAGUUCUUCCAACUGUUUGUGCACGCCACUAUUUCCUUACAUUAAAACCUC